AUUGAACGCUGGCGGCAUGCCUUACACAUGCAAGUCGAACGGCAGCGGGCCCUUCGGGGUGCCUGCGAGUGGCGAACGGGUGAGUAAUGCAUCGGAACGUACCCGGGAGAGGGGGAUAACCGGCCGAAAGGCUGGCUAAUACCGCAUGAACUCGGCAGAGCAAAGCUGGGGACCUUCGGGCCUCGCGCUCUCGGAGCGGCCGAUGUCCGAUUAGGCUAGUUGGUGGGGUAAAGGCCCACCAAGGCGACGAUCGGUAGCGGGUCUGAGAGGACGAUCCGCCACACUGGGACUGAGACACGGCCCAGACUCCUACGGGAGGCAGCAGUGGGGAAUCUUGGACAAUGGGCGCAAGCCUGAUCCAGCAAGGCCGCGUGGGUGAAGAAGGCCUUCGGGUUGUAAAGCCCUUUCGGCGGGGAAGAAAUCGGUCAGGCGAAUAGUCUGGCCGGAUGACGGUACCCGCAGAAGAAGCACCGGCUAACUACGUG
This 485-nucleotide ribosomal RNA is filed under the name uncultured bacterium. Its description in RNAcentral is "partial 16S ribosomal RNA". It matches the Rfam family "Bacterial small subunit ribosomal RNA", at positions 28 to 507 of the family's 1533-position model. The record is from RNAcentral.